Molecule: long non-coding RNA, 627 nt
Filed under: Monodelphis domestica (gray short-tailed opossum)
Lineage: Eukaryota; Metazoa; Chordata; Mammalia; Didelphimorphia; Didelphidae
Description: lncRNA (ENSMODG00000037863.1)
Source: RNAcentral
GUGGGGACAGACAGAGAGAGAAGGGUGGAGAGGAGAGACAGAGAGGGAAGAGAAGGGGGAGAGGAGAGACAGAGAGGGAAGAGAAGGGGAGAGAGGAGAGACAGAGAGAGAGAGAAGAGAAGGGGGGACAGACAGAGAGAGAAGGGGGGAGAGGAGAGACAGGGGGUGGGGGGGAGACAGUGAGAGACAGACAGAGAGAUCUAGCUCCCUUGCUUGUUGCCCAAAUUGUGUUGUUUUGUUUUGUUCACAUUUAGAGACAUCUGAAGCUGAGUGUUUUAAUGAUGGCUUCUUUAAUGUCAUCUCUCAUCAAUUUCUGAGUGUCUCUGCUACUCUUCUUUUUCCUGCACAGCAGUCAUCCUUGAGUUUGGUGUGUGUAGUCACUCUCCUCUCUAUCCUGCCUUUUCACUUUUAAGACUUGCCUGGCUGAAGCAGCAAGGUCCUCUGAGGGAGUGAUGGGGCUAUAUGUGCCAGACAAGUUAAACCAUUGCCACCACCUUGACUGCCAUCUUAUCUUCCCUCUGAUUCUGAUGGAGACAACCCAGAACCCAGAACCCAAGGGCCUUGGGAACAGCAUUGAUUCCAGACCAGUAACUGCAGCCAUCAUCUUGGGAAGCAAUCCCUCUGCAG